RNAcentral lists this long non-coding RNA (672 nucleotides) under Fukomys damarensis (Damara mole-rat). RNAcentral describes it as "lncRNA (ENSFDAG00000023859.1)". The record is from RNAcentral. Lineage: Eukaryota; Metazoa; Chordata; Mammalia; Rodentia; Bathyergidae.
AGGCGCUGUUGCGGCAGUGCGGGGGCGGAAGUACCUGGGCUGGACACAACGCAGGCCCCAGGCCUGAGGACCAGGGAGCGCAUAUGGGGCGGACCGUGGGACGCUGCUGCUCUCCAAGACGACCGCACAGCAGGGAGCUGAGCUUCAGCCUGAUGCAACGGCGGAAGUGUGCUGUCCUUAAACGCUGGAGUCCUAACCCGAGCUCUGAUGGACAACAUGCUCUCGGAGCCAGGCCCUGCGAGAGCGCACACCUGAGUUUCCUCUUUGAAGUUUCCUGUUGCCUGGUGCAGAAACCGCCAGCAGGAAAAGAAAACGAAGGAACACGCACCCAAUCCCACGAGGACGCCCGUGGCCGAGGAACCCCAGAAACUCACCGGAAGACCAAAGUUUGGCUGAUGCCAGGCACCGAGGUGACGGACGGGCCGGAGGAUGGCGGUCAGCUUAGGACUCCAGAGCUCCUGAGGCUGAACUCUGCACUGUCCCUUGGAAGAAACUGGUCCAGGUCCGCGAAGACAGAGCCGGGUUACACCUGCUGGGAGCUUACAGUGAGCCGGUGCCUGGGGAAAGAGGGAAGUGUUUAGGAGUAUAUGCAUCUCGUACUGUGUGCAACUGUCUUGGAUGCAAAUAAGAACGCUGUAUUCUAUUACCACAAACAAUGACUUCAAAUCUGGU